GCACGCUGGCGGCGUGCCUAAUACUGCAAGUCGAGCGCGGGAAGCAGAAGAAUCCUUCGGGAGGACGUCUGUGGAACGAGCGGCGGACGGGUGAGUAACACGUGGGCAACCUGCCUGUAAGACUGGGAUAACUCCGGGAAACCGGGGCUAAUACCGGAUAAUUCAUCGAAUCGCAUGAUUCGAUGUUGAAAGGUGGCAUAUGCUACUACUUACAGAUGGGCCCGCGGCGCAUUAGUUAGUUGGUGGGGUAAAAGCCUACCAAGGCCACGAUGCGUAGCCGACCUGAGAGGGUGAUCGGCCACACUGGGACUGAGACACGGCCCAGACUCCUACGGGAGGCAGCAGUAGGGAAUCAUCCGCAAUGGACGCAAGUCUGACGGUGCAACGCCGCGUGAGUGAGGAAGGUCUUCGGAUCGUAAAACUCUGUUGUUAGAGAAGAACAAGUACCGUUCGAAUAGGGCGGUACCUUGACGGUACCUAACCAGAAAGCCACGGCUAACUACGUGCCAGCAGCCGCGGUAAUACGUAGGUGGCAAGCGUUGUCCGGAAUUAUUGGGCGUAAAGGGCGCGCAGGCGGUUCCUUAAGUCUGGUGUGACAGCCCACGGCUCAACCGUGGAGGGUCAUCGGAAACUGGGGAGCUUGAGUACAGAAGAGGAGAGCGGAAUUCCACGUGUAGCGGUGAAAUGCGUAGAUAUGUGGAGGAACACCAGUGGCGAANGCGGCUCUCUGGUCUGUGACUGACGCUGAGGCGCGAAAGCGUGGGUAGCGAACAGGAUUAGAUACCCUGGUAGUCCACGCCGUAAACGAUGAGUGCUANGUGUUNAGGGGGUUUCCACCCUUANUGCUGCAUUAACGCANUAAGCACUCCNCCUGGGGGAGU
This 881-nucleotide ribosomal RNA is filed under the name Tenuibacillus multivorans. Its description in RNAcentral is "bacterial SSU rRNA". It matches the Rfam family "Bacterial small subunit ribosomal RNA", at positions 31 to 881 of the family's 1533-position model. Lineage: Bacteria; Bacillati; Bacillota; Bacilli; Caryophanales; Bacillaceae. The record is from RNAcentral.